This 79-nucleotide non-coding RNA is filed under the name human gut metagenome. RNAcentral's name for it is "ZMP/ZTP riboswitch". It matches the Rfam family "ZMP/ZTP riboswitch aptamer (pfl RNA motif)". Rfam says of the family: Previously known as pfl RNA. The record is from RNAcentral.
UUUCCGCGACUGACGGAAAUGUGGAUACAAACCACAGGGGAGCGGAAGACGGGUUUAGUGCCGACCGUCUGGGCAGUCU